Molecule: ribosomal RNA, 253 nt
Filed under: uncultured bacterium
Lineage: Bacteria
Description: partial 16S ribosomal RNA
Rfam family: Bacterial small subunit ribosomal RNA
Source: RNAcentral
UACGUAGGGGGCAAGCGUUGUCCGGAAUUAUUGGGCGUAAAGCGCGCGCAGGCGGUCUCUUAAGUCUGAUGUGAAAGCCCACGGCUCAACCGUGGAGGGUCAUUGGAAACUGGGGGACUUGAGUAUAGGAGAGGAAAGUGGAAUCCCACGUGUAGCGGUGAAAUGCGUAGAUAUGUGGAGGAACACCAGUGGCGAAGGCGACUUUCUGGCCUACAACUGACGCUGAGGCGCGAAAGCGUGGGGAGCAAACAGG